AUGAUUUUGUCUGACCCAAAGGGGGCAGCAGCACCACAAGCAACAGUGCUUCCUUCAGGGGCCCUGACCAUGUGUAAGAUGAAGAAGGAUGCUGGUGCUGGAAAAGGGGUGAGCUGCCAACAGGAGGUGGAGCAGAAUCCUCAGACCCUGAGGGUCCAGGAGGGAGAGAGCACAGCCCUCAACUGCAAUUAUUCAAACAGUGCUUCUAGAAACCUGCAGUGGUUCAGGCAGGAUCCUGGGAAGGGCUUCAUCUUCCUAUUUUACUUGUCCUUGGAGGGAAAGCAGAAUGGAAGAUUAAGAUCCACGAUUAACAGGAAAGAACGUCACAGUUCCCUGCACAUCGAUGAAGCCCAUCCUGGAGACUCGGGCACCUACUUCUGUGGUAUGGAGCCACAGUGA
This is a non-coding RNA of Dromiciops gliroides (monito del monte), 399 nucleotides long. Lineage: Eukaryota; Metazoa; Chordata; Mammalia; Microbiotheria; Microbiotheriidae. The record is from the annotation of a RefSeq genome assembly.